AUCAAAAGAAGCACACAUGAUGAAGUACUUGCAAAGAGAAUUGGUUUUGGCAUGGGCCAUUUUCAUUCAAUUUUUUUUCUUUUUAGAAUAAAUUUGCUUAAUUUCUAUUUCAUAAUUGAAACUUUAGAAAAAAAAAAGGUUAGAAUCUGCCUAUAUAGAGUUGCAUCCUCCCUCCAAUUUUCACUGGUCUGCUUUAGCUUCCAUCCAUGGAGUUUCAUUUACUGACACAGAGAAAAAAAAUUUGUUACACAAACUUUUGGCAGCUUGCAUUCGCAGUAGGCCAUUGUUGAAAAAAUGGUUUCAUCUUACUGUCAAGCAAAGUUAAAAGACUGGAGGUAGCAGAAAUUGCUGGUUGAAGAAGGAGGAGCAGUAAUGUCGUUUUGAGGAGAUGAUCAAGUCGUUUUAUGUUUAAAGUUGUUUACCAGUGUUUUCACUUUAGUUACCAAGUUAUUUUUCCAAGUUACUGUUGGAAGUAAUUUUUUAUUUUGCUAUACUGUGUUGUUUUGGUUGUAAAUCCGUUAGGCUUGGUUGGUUGGCUGUCUUGGGAAUCUGCACACUACUAUGGCUUACAGCCCAUGGUUGUGGAGAAACUAUGUUGUUUAACCUUACUGCAUCUUCUUUCUUUUCUUUUGAUUCUGGUUGUUGCUAUUCUUAUUGUUCUGCAGCCCAAAGUGGCAUCUAGGAGAUCCUACACUGAGUGGAUAAAGGAGAGCACAAAGAACAGUGGCGAACUAGAUGCUGACAUAGAACGCAUCUUAAGAGGAACUAGGGAGCUUCAGUUAGAAAGCAAUUCCAUUCAGGAACGCCUUCAGUUGAUGUUUAUAUGCAGGGAAGUAAAGAAAGACCCUGUCAGGCGACGGGCUGCUCACUAGCAUACAUGAGAGCUUUGAGCAAAUCUCUGAGAAAAUUCUCGCGACUGAUAGAAUCCGAACAGAAAUGGCUGACCAUGAAAAGAAACUAGCAGGCAUGGCUUCCUGAAGCUUAAAUGUAGACAAGCUACCUACAAGCUGAUCUUGAUGCCAUUGUGAAGGAAAAUGAGUACCUGGAGCAACAACUUUGAGACAAUUGAACCUACUUCUUGACACUAGAAAUAAAAUGUAACAGGUUCUGAGACAAUUCUCAUGCAUCCCUAAAAAAAGAAGGCCCCAAGCAUGGAAAGCAGCCUUUGAGAUUCCAAGUUUAAUGCAUGGAAAGAAGGCCCAUAGCAAAUCAUGAUUAUUUGUCUUAGUGUUUCUGUUUUUAUUUAUUUUUUGUUAUUAUUAUAAUUAUCAAGAUUCUAUAUAUGCUUUUCUCUUGUAAAGCUGUUGUUCUUUGUAAAUUUGGGUCUUCUCAGCCUUGUGUAAUUGCCAUUCUAUUAAUGUAUAUUCAAAGAAUUGGUUGAUGAGAAGUUAAA
Molecule: non-coding RNA, 1393 nt
Organism: Theobroma cacao (cacao)
Lineage: Eukaryota; Viridiplantae; Streptophyta; Magnoliopsida; Malvales; Malvaceae
Source: RefSeq, a predicted model, not a curated record